GUAACUGGAUAAUUUUAUAACCUAAGCAUUCGAUUGUGUGGACAUUGAGAUAAUAGUGCAAUUAUAAAUUAAGAGUUUGAGCGAGAAUACUCUGUAUUGACAUUUAGUGCUGAUGAAAAAAAUCAGCGAAGAUAUAAUAUAUCAAAUAUUCAUGCAUGUCACUGAUGUUAAAAAUGAAAUAUUAAUCAAAAAUCGCCGCAUUUAAUCUUAUCAAAAACUGCAUAACUUUGUAAAGUCAUGCAGUUUUUUUUUACAACACUGUUCUCACGAUGCGAGGUUUAGUUGAUCAAUCUUACGAUUUUGAUCUGAAAUCGUAGUGAAGAAAAUCAUUACGGAACAAGAGCACGCAAACGAAAUUUUUUUAGAAGGCUUUCUUGAAAAAGAUUGUUGUGUGUUAGCGUAAGAUGGAAACUGUGAAAUACUAUGCGAAUUUUAUAGAUCCUCACUGGAUUACCGUAGUAGCAACUGGUUUAUAUACUCAUUUGCGACAAAUCUGCAUAAUUGGUCUCUGUUUUGAGGAGGAGAACGCUUUGCCUUUUGAUCCGUCAUAUGCGUCAGUAUUAUUUGUGUUCUCAGUUUUGUGCUUAUUAGCAGAAUACAGAUUAUGGCCUAUAACUCUUAAAGAACCACCAAUCCAGCUAUUAUACAUUUACGAAAUGUUAAUAGCUGCAUUGAGCACAAAUUUAGCAAUCCAAAUGAUAUGGAUACCAAUGAUGCAUGCAAUUUUCUGUCUCACUCAAGAAUCUAGUAAGUGGUUGUUAUGGUUGAAUAGUAAUAUGGGCUAUUCUUGGUUAACUUUCUUUGCGGAUUACAUGGCUAGAGAUUAUGCAGCCACGUACAUGGCAUUUUGCAUGUCAUUAUUGUCGUUUGUGUGGAUGCUAGACGCCACCGAAUCACUGGACGCGUUUUUGGAUACAUGGAGCAAGUAGUGAAUUCUGAAAACUUCAAAUUUUAUCCACAAAAUUGUCCGUCAUGUAAUAAAAUUACAAAGCAGUUUAUCAACUCACGUGUACUAUUCACGAAUGCAAGACAUCCCAAACGCAAAAAGGUUACUUUCAGCAAUCCUGAAGUGACUCAAUCAUUCUUUUAUAAGUUCUGUCAGAUGCGUCCUUUUACCACAAAUUUUAGAAAUCAUAAUUUUUUGUAAUCUGCUAUAUUUUGACUGUAUAUGUCCUUAUGUUUAAUAAAUAUCUAGUAAUAUUUUAUAAAAU
Trachymyrmex septentrionalis is the source of this 1211-nucleotide RNA transcript. RefSeq lists it as uncharacterized. Lineage: Eukaryota; Metazoa; Arthropoda; Insecta; Hymenoptera; Formicidae. The transcript has 5 exons. The record is from RefSeq and is a predicted model, not a curated record.